RNAcentral lists this ribosomal RNA (932 nucleotides) under uncultured bacterium. RNAcentral describes it as "bacterial SSU rRNA". It matches the Rfam family "Bacterial small subunit ribosomal RNA", at positions 8 to 916 of the family's 1533-position model. The record is from RNAcentral.
AGAGUUUGAUCAUGGCUCAGAGCGAACGCUGGCGGCGUGCCUAACACAUGCAAGUCGAGCGAGAAAGGGGACUUCGGUCCUUGAGUACAGCGGCGAACGGGUGCGUAACACGUGGGCAAUCUGUCUUCAAGAUGGGAAUAACCCAGCGAAAGUUAGGCUAAUACCCAAUAAGACCACGAAAAGCAAUUUAUGUGGUCAAAGAACGCCCCCUCUAGGGGCAUUCGCUAGAAGAGGAGCCCGCGACCUAUCAGCUUGUUGGUGAGGUAACGGCUCACCAAGGCAAAGACGGGUAGCUGGUCUGAGAGGAUGACCAGCCACACGGGGACUGAGACACGGCCCCGACUCCUACGGGAGGCAGCAGUGGGGAAUAUUGGGCAAUGGGGGAAACCCUGACCCAGCGACGCCGCGUGGGUGAUGAAGGCCUUCGGGUCGUAAAGCCUUGUCAAGAGGAAAGAAUGUUUUCGAAGCAAAUAGUUUCGAAAAGUGACGGUACCUCUGAAGGAAGCACCGGCCAACUCCGUGCCAGCAGCCGCGGUAAGACGGAGGGUGCAAGCGUUGCUCGGAAUCAUUGGGCGUAAAGGGUGCGUAGGCGGUCUCUUAAGUCUGACGUGAAAGUCCAGGGCUCACCCUUGGAAGUGCGCCAGAAACUGGAAGACUAGAGUACCGGAGGGGAGAGUGGAAUUCCUGGUGUAGCGGUGAAAUGCGUAGAUAUCAGGAGGAAUACCGGUGGCGAAAGCGACUCUCUGGACGGUAACUGACGCUGAGGCACGAAAGCGUGGGGAGCAAACAGGAUUAGAUACCCUGGUAGUCCACGCCGUAAACGAUGGACACUAGGUGUCGAGGGUAUCCACUCCCUCGGUGCCGCCGCUAACGCAUUAAGUGUCCCGCCUGGGAAGUACGGCCGCAAGGUUAAAACUCAAAGGAAUUGACGG